RNAcentral lists this ribosomal RNA (350 nucleotides) under uncultured bacterium. Its description in RNAcentral is "bacterial SSU rRNA". It matches the Rfam family "Bacterial small subunit ribosomal RNA", at positions 355 to 702 of the family's 1533-position model. The record is from RNAcentral.
GGAUGAAUAUUGGGCAAUGGAGGCAACUCUGACCCAGCCAUGCCGCGUGCAGGAAGACUGCCCUAUGGGUUGUAAACUGCUUUUAUACAGGAAGAAACACUCCCUUGUGAGGGAGUUUGACGGUACUGUAAGAAUAAGCACCGGCUAACUCCGUGCCAGCAGCCGCGGUAAUACGGAGGGUGCAAGCGUUAUCCGGAAUCAUUGGGUUUAAAGGGUCCGCAGGCGGUCAAUUAAGUCAGAGGUGAAAUCCCAUAGCUUAACUAUGGAACUGCCUUUGAUACUGUUUGACUUGAGUUAUACGGAAGUAGAUAGAAUAAGUAGUGUAGCGGUGAAAUGCAUAGAUAUUACUU